RNAcentral lists this unclassified non-coding RNA (156 nucleotides) under uncultured fungus. Its description in RNAcentral is "sequence contains ITS1, 5.8S rRNA gene". Lineage: Eukaryota; Fungi. The record is from RNAcentral.
UUAAUUUUUGUUUGUAUUCAGACGCAAACACUAUACAGCAUAAAUGCGGCGGCCCGUUUGACGGGGUCGCCGAAGCACAACUUCCUUCCACAGGUUUGAGGGUUAAGGCCAGAAGACCAUUCGUUAAUGAUCCCUCCGCAGGUUCACCUACGGAGA